AGAAGAAAAAAUCAGAUGCUCACGAGGGUAACCGUCCCCUAUGUGUUAAUCGUAGCUUGUUGGUCCGGCGGGCCCGCCGUGCAGGCUACGGGGGGGCAUCCGCCCCCGGGCCCGCUCCCGCCGAACACACAAUUGAACGCUGUCUGAAGAUUGCAGACUGAGCGAUUAACUAAAUCAGUUAAAACUUUCAACAACGGAUCUCUUGGGUCCGGCAUCGAUGAAGAACGCAGCGAAAUGCGAUAAGUAAUGUGAAUUGCACAAUUCAAUGAAUCAUCGAGUCUUUGAACGCACAUUGCGCCCCCUGGUAUUCCGGGGGGCAUGCCUGUCCGAGCGUCCUUGCUGCCCUCAAGCACGGCUUGUGUGUUGGGCCCCGCCCCCCGGCUACCGGGGGGCGGACCCGAAAGGCAGCGGCGGCACCGCGUCCGGUCCUCGAGCGUAUGGGGCUUCGUCACCCGCUCUGUAGGCCCGGCCGGCGCCCGUCGGCGACCCCCCUCAAUCUUUCUCAGGUUGACCUCGGAUCAGGUAGGGAUACCCGCUGAACUUAAGCAUAUCAUAAGCGGAGGAAUUACGAUUUUUCCCCUCUUGUCCAACUUCCCCAUAUUAU
RNAcentral lists this unclassified non-coding RNA (604 nucleotides) under Penicillium ochrochloron. RNAcentral's name for it is "sequence contains 18S rRNA gene, ITS1, 5.8S rRNA gene, ITS2 and 28S rRNA gene". The stretch from base 183 to 336 matches the Rfam family "5.8S ribosomal RNA". The record is from RNAcentral. Lineage: Eukaryota; Fungi; Ascomycota; Eurotiomycetes; Eurotiales; Aspergillaceae.